Gopherus evgoodei (Goodes thornscrub tortoise) is the source of this 587-nucleotide long non-coding RNA. RefSeq lists it as uncharacterized. NCBI's taxonomy places the organism in Eukaryota, Metazoa, Chordata, Testudines, Testudinidae. The record is from RefSeq and is a predicted model, not a curated record. The transcript is spliced from 3 exons.
CAGCCUGUAAAAGGAAACGCCUCCCCGGGGACUGAGAAGGGAGAGUCUGGUGCGGAACACGUCUUUGUCCUGUGAAACCUGAGGCACUGGGGACAUGGCGCCCUUGACACAGUCUGUUCCGUGGCACCUUCAUUUCCGGGGGCACAUUUGUUUGGAUGGCUAACGACUCGGAGGGGAGGUCGCUGCCGUUUGCCCUGGAUUUCACUCACUGCAUGAGUCUGACUGAAGACCCCAGCACUGGCCUGCGGGGGGUUGUGGGACCUGGUGCACAAAAACUUAUUUGAGUCAGGCAAUUGAUCAAAACAGAUAAUUUCCCACGAAUGGUUUCGAUGAAUCAGCAUUUACUGAUGGAAAGAAAUGUUCAGUCAGAAUUUCCCAACCAGCUCCGUUGUCGAGUGCUUUGCGAGGUCAGGAACACGAGAGUUAAGCAGGGCCGGUGCAACCACUAGGCAAACUGCCCCCCUGCGCCACGCCAGCUCCUCCAUGGCUGGGGAUCGCCGCCCCUGCAAGUGGUUUGCUCUGGCUCUCCAGUGGCUCCAGAAGGUGGCUCCUCCCUGCUAAGCUGCUGCAGCAGCCCAAGCCUGGCA